This is a long non-coding RNA of Herpailurus yagouaroundi (jaguarundi), 728 nucleotides long. RefSeq lists it as uncharacterized. The transcript is spliced from 2 exons. The record is from RefSeq and is a predicted model, not a curated record. Lineage: Eukaryota; Metazoa; Chordata; Mammalia; Carnivora; Felidae.
CCUGCCCUGAACAGAAGUGCUUAAAACACCAUUAACGUCUCCCUCCUGCUUCGGAUCCCUUUUCACACUCCGGUGACAACUAAAAUUGGUGGUGAGGCCCCCCCGUGCUCGGGCGGGAAGGCUUGGUGUCCACAGGAAGCCUGAACGUGACCUGAUGGAAGUGAUCGCCGGAAGUCUGCAGGCCCCGUAUGGCCACCUGGGGGCACAAUCAGGUUUGCUUUGGAAGCACAGUCUUUCAAAACCUGAUCCCGGCGGCUUUGACAAAGGCCCCUCCGGCUGGUGCUUGUCUUGGAGACCAGCCAGGAAGUCCAUUCAGCCCUGCAUUGCCUUUAAUGAGUUUUGCAAGCAAGUGGCCUCUUCCGGUGACUCACUCUGCCUUUUGUGCCCCGGAGAUUGUGGUUUUAAGUUUCACUUUGGAAAGUAACCACCACUUCUGCUGCUUUCUCCGCUGCUGGAAUCUGAACAAGUUACAUUCAUUUUGCAACAAAGAAAUGUAAAUGCAGGAGGGCCAGUCAUAUUUCUGCUCUGAUUGUAAAAACAUCCUUUUCCGAGACGGAUGACAGAGCCAAGCUAAGAAGAAAUGGUUUCUAUGGUUCACAAGUCACACGUUCACUUUGGGAACUUCGUAUUUUUCCUUCCAGACAGGCUUGAUACUUUUGUUUUUGUUCUUUGUCUUCUGGAUGCAUAUUUCAGGGAUAUCCUAAAAAUAAACAGCGCUUGCUGACUCA